This 253-nucleotide ribosomal RNA is filed under the name uncultured bacterium. Its description in RNAcentral is "partial 16S ribosomal RNA". It matches the Rfam family "Bacterial small subunit ribosomal RNA", at positions 524 to 776 of the family's 1533-position model. The record is from RNAcentral.
UACGUAGGUGGCAAGCGUUACUCGGAAUCACUAGGCGUAAAGCGCAGGUAGGCGGUUUGAUAAGUCUUUUGUGAAAGCUCCCGGCUCAACUGGGAGAGGUCAAGGGAAACUGUCAGGCUAGAGUGUGGCAGAGGAAGCUAGAAUUCCCGGUGUAGCGGUGAAAUGCGUAGAUAUCAGGAGGAACACCGGUGGCGAAGGCGGUUCUCUGGGCAUGAUCUGACGCUGAGGAGCGAAAGUGUGGGGAGCGAACGGG